CCAGACUCCUACGGGAGGCAGCAGUGAGGAAUAUUGGUCAAUGGCCGCAGGGCUGAGCCAGCCAAGUCGCGUGAGGGAUGACGGCCCUACGGGUUGUAAACCUCUUUUGUCGGGGAGCAAAUUCCGCCACGUGUGGCGGAGUCGAGAGUACCCGAAGAAAAAGCAUCGGCUAACUCCGUGCCAGCAGCCGCGGUAAUACGUAGGGGGCAAGCGUUAUCCGGAUUUACUGGGUGUAAAGGGGGCGCAGACGGCGAUGCAAGCCAGGAGUGAAAGCCCGGGGCCCAACCCCGGGACUGCUCUUGGAACUGCGUGGCUGGAGUGCAGGAGGGGCAGGCGGAAUUCCUGGUGUAGCGGUGAAAUGCGUAGAUAUCAGGAGGAACACCGGUGGCGAAGGCGGCCUGCUGGACUGCAACUGACGUUGAGGCCCGAAAGCGUGGGGAGCAAACAGGAUUAGAUACCCCAGUAU
This 466-nucleotide ribosomal RNA is filed under the name uncultured bacterium. RNAcentral describes it as "bacterial SSU rRNA". It matches the Rfam family "Bacterial small subunit ribosomal RNA", at positions 331 to 793 of the family's 1533-position model. The record is from RNAcentral.